CUGUCUGAAUAUGGGGGGACCAUCCUCCAAGGCUAAAUACUCCUGACUGACCGAUAGUGAACCAGUACCGUGAGGGAAAGGCGAAAAGAACCCCGGCGAGGGGAGUGAAAAAGAACCUGAAACCGUGUACGUACAAGCAGUGGGAGCACGCUUAGGCGUGUGACUGCGUACCUUUUGUAUAAUGGGUCAGCGACUUAUAUUCUGUAGCAAGGUUAACCGAAUAGGGGAGCCGAAGGGAAACCGAGUCUUAACUGGGCGUUAAGUUGCAGGGUAUAGACCCGAAACCCGGUGAUCUAGCCAUGGGCAGGUUGAAGGUUGGGUAACACUAACUGGAGGACCGAACCGACUAAUGUUGAAAAAUUAGCGGAUGACUUGUGGCUGGGGGUGAAAGGCCAAUCAAACCGGGAGAUAGCUGGUUCUCCCCGAAAGCUAUUUAGGUAGCGCCUCGUGAAUUCAUCUCCGGGGGUAGAGCACUGUUUCGGCAAGGGGGUCAUCCCGACUUACCAACCCGAUGCAAACUGCGAAUACCGGAGAAUGUUAUCACGGGAGACACACGGCGGGUGCUAACGUCCGUCGUGAAGAGGGAAACAACCCAGACCGCCAGCUAAGGUCCCAAAGUCAUGGUUAAGUGGGAAACGAUGUGGGAAGGCCCAGACAGCCAGGAUGUUGGCUUAGAAGCAGCCAUCAUUUAAAGAAAGCGUAAUAGCUCACUGGUCGAGUCGGCCUGCGCGGAAGAUGUAACGGGGCUAAACCAUGCACCGAAGCUGCGGCAGCGACGCUUAUGCGUUGUUGGGUAGGGGAGCGUUCUGUAAGCCUGUGAAGGUGUGCUGUGAGGCAUGCUGGAGGUAUCAGAAGUGCGAAUGCUGACAUAAGUAACGAUAAAGCGGGUGAAAAGCCCGCUCGCCGGAAGACCAAGGGUUCCUGUCCAACGUUAAUCGGGGCAGGGUGAGUCGACCCCUAAGGCGAGGCCGAAAGGCGUAGUCGAUGGGAAACAGGUUAAUAUUCCUGUACUUGGUGUUACUGCGAAGGGGGGACGGAGAAGGCUAUGUUGGCCGGGCGACGGUUGUCCCGGUUUAAGCGUGUAGGCUGGUUUUCCAGGCAAAUCCGGAAAAUCAAGGCUGAGGCGUGAUGACGAGGCACUACGGUGCUGAAGCAACAAAUGCCCUGCUUCCAGGAAAAGCCUCUAAGCAUCAGGUAACAUCAAAUCGUACCCCAAACCGACACAGGUGGUCAGGUAGAGAAUACCAAGGCGCUUGAGAGAACUCGGGUGAAGGAACUAGGCAAAAUGGUGCCGUAACUUCGGGAGAAGGCACGCUGAUAUGUAGGUGAAGUCCCUCGCGGAUGGAGCUGAAAUCAGUCGAAGAUACCAGCUGGCUGCAACUGUUUAUUAAAAACACAGCACUGUGCAAACACGAAAGUGGACGUAUACGGUGUGACGCCUGCCCGGUGCCGGAAGGUUAAUUGAUGGGGUCAGCGCAAGCGAAGCUCUUGAUCGAAGCCCCGGUAAACGGCGGCCGUAACUAUAACGGUCCUAAGGUAGCGAAAUUCCUUGUCGGGUAAGUUCCGACCUGCACGAAUGGCGUAAUGAUGGCCAGGCUGUCUCCACCCGAGACUCAGUGAAAUUGAACUCGCUGUGAAGAUGCAGUGUACCCGCGGCAAGACGGAAAGACCCCGUGAACCUUUACUAUAGCUUGACACUGAACAUUGAGCCUUGAUGUGUAGGAUAGGUGGGAGGCUUAGAAGUGUGGACGCCAGUCUGCAUGGAGCCGACCUUGAAAUACCACCCUUUAAUGUUUGAUGUUCUAACGUUGACCCGUAAUCCGGGUUGCGGACAGUGUCUGGUGGGUAGUUUGACUGGGGCGGUCUCCUCCUAAAGAGUAACGGAGGAGCACGAAGGUUGGCUAAUCCUGGUCGGACAUCAGGAGGUUAGUGCAAUGGCAUAAGCCAGCUUGACUGCGAGCGUGACGGCGCGAGCAGGUGCGAAAGCAGGUCAUAGUGAUCCGGUGGUUCUGAAUGGAAGGGCCAUCGCUCAACGGAUAAAAGGUACUCCGGGGAUAACAGGCUGAUACCGCCCAAGAGUUCAUAUCGACGGCGGUGUUUGGCACCUCGAUGUCGGCUCAUCACAUCCUGGGGCUGAAGUAGGUCCCAAGGGUAUGGCUGUUCGCCAUUUAAAGUGGUACGCGAGCUGGGUUUAGAACGUCGUGAGACAGUUCGGUCCCUAUCUGCCGUGGGCGCUGGAGAACUGAGGGGGGCUGCUCCUAGUACGAGAGGACCGGAGUGGACGCAUCACUGGUGUUCGGGUUGUCAUGCCAAUGGCACUGCCCGGUAGCUAAAUGCGGAAGAGAUAAGUGCUGAAAGCAUCUAAGCACGAAACUUGCC
RNAcentral lists this ribosomal RNA (2379 nucleotides) under Escherichia coli. Its description in RNAcentral is "partial 23S ribosomal RNA". It matches the Rfam family "Bacterial large subunit ribosomal RNA", at positions 434 to 2798 of the family's 2925-position model. The record is from RNAcentral. Lineage: Bacteria; Pseudomonadati; Pseudomonadota; Gammaproteobacteria; Enterobacterales; Enterobacteriaceae.